GCGGGUGUAGUUCAGCGGUAGAGCAUCUGCUUCCCAAGCAGACUGUCGUCGGUUCGAAUCCGAUCACCCGCU
Molecule: transfer RNA, 72 nt
Filed under: Aphanothece sp. CMT-3BRIN-NPC111
Lineage: Bacteria; Bacillati; Cyanobacteriota; Cyanophyceae; Chroococcales; Aphanothecaceae
Description: tRNA-Gly
Rfam family: tRNA
About the family: Transfer RNA (tRNA) molecules are approximately 80 nucleotides in length. Their secondary structure includes four short double-helical elements and three loops (D, anti-codon, and T loops). Further hydrogen bonds mediate the characteristic L-shaped molecular structure. tRNAs have two regions of fundamental functional importance: the anti-codon, which is responsible for specific mRNA codon recognition, and the 3' end, to which the tRNAs corresponding amino acid is attached (by aminoacyl-tRNA synthetases). tRNAs cope with the degeneracy of the genetic code in two manners: having more than one tRNA (with a specific anti-codon) for a particular amino acid; and 'wobble' base-pairing, i.e. permitting non-standard base-pairing at the 3rd anti-codon position.
Source: RNAcentral